UUUUUGUGUGCAAAACAAGUUUGAUUUGUGUGCAACACAUUUUUUUAUGUACAACCUUUUGGCAGGAAACUAACUCCAUACUUUAUUAUUUCAAAGACAAGACUGUGGAAUUUGGGAAAUCUUCCUGGAUAAGUCCUAUUGAUCAGCAACAAUGUCCAAAAAUAUUCACUGAGUGCCCUAACUGGAAGAUGAAGAUGGAUGGAUAUAAAGUGGGACAUCAAAGGGAGAACAAAGUCGGACAGUCCAACGUUUGAUGGUGAUGAGUGGUGGAACAGGAAACCGGCAGACUGUACCAGAUGGCGGCGGAGUGAUGUUGACGGUGGCUGGAGCAGGAGGACAUAGUGGAGUCGAAGCCGGAGGACUUGAGGGAACGCAGGCAGGUAGGCAGAGACGAGGGAAGGCUGGUAGGCAGACACAGGGCUGGCUGGAGACGGGCAUACGAUGUGGGACGAAGGACGCUGGGAGAUGUGAGGCAUGAGCAGACACGGGAAGGACGUUGUCGAACCAGCAGCGAAAGCAGAAAUGAGAGGAGUUUAUGUAGGAGGUUGAACAGGUGGAAUGAGUCCAGACUUGAUUAUUGCAGCAGGUGAAACUGAUCCAGCAUGGAGUGAAGCAGGGGAGAGGAGGUAGUGGAAGGCUCUGGAACUGUCCAUGGUGCAGCAGGAAGAACUGCAUCCUGACACACUCAAAAAUGAUUUACUAAUUUUAAAAUAUAUAAUUUUAUCUACACAUAUUUUUGGUAGACGGAGGUCAGACGUUUCUGAUGAGAUUAAAAGAAUAAU
Fundulus heteroclitus (mummichog) is the source of this 782-nucleotide long non-coding RNA. RefSeq lists it as uncharacterized. The transcript has 2 exons. NCBI's taxonomy places the organism in Eukaryota, Metazoa, Chordata, Actinopteri, Cyprinodontiformes, Fundulidae. The record is from RefSeq and is a predicted model, not a curated record.